RNAcentral lists this ribosomal RNA (777 nucleotides) under Bacillus sp. PnB 5. RNAcentral describes it as "bacterial SSU rRNA". It matches the Rfam family "Bacterial small subunit ribosomal RNA", at positions 57 to 820 of the family's 1533-position model. The record is from RNAcentral. Lineage: Bacteria; Bacillati; Bacillota; Bacilli; Caryophanales; Bacillaceae.
GCAGUCGAGCGAAUCUGAGGGAGCUUGCUCCCAAGAUUAGCGGCGGACGGGUGAGUAACACGUGGGCAACCUGCCUGUAAGACUGGGAUAACUCCGGGAAACCGGGGCUAAUACCGGAUAAUAUCUAUUUAUACAUAUAAUUAGAUUGAAAGAUGGUUCUGCUAUCACUUACAGAUGGGCCCGCGGCGCAUUAGCUAGUUGGUGAGGUAACGGCUCACCAAGGCGACGAUGCGUAGCCGACCUGAGAGGGUGAUCGGCCACACUGGGACUGAGACACGAUCAAAAUUCCUACGGGAGGCAGCAGUAGGGAAUCUUCCGCAAUGGACGAAAGUCUGACGGAGCAACGCCGCGUGAGUGAUGAAGGUUUUCGGAUCGUAAAACUCUGUUGUUAGGGAAGAACAAGUACCGGAGUAACUGCCGGUACCUUGACGGUACCUAACCAGAAAGCCACGGCUAACUACGUGCCAGCAGCCGCGGUAAUACGUAGGUGGCAAGCGUUGUCCGGAAUUAUUGGGCGUAAAGCGCGCGCAGGCGGUUCCUUAAGUCUGAUGUGAAAGCCCACGGCUCAACCGUGGAGGGUCAUUGGAAACUGGGGAACUUGAGUGCAGAAGAGGAAAGUGGAAUUCCAAGUGUAGCGGUGAAAUGCGUAGAGAUUUGGAGGAACACCAGUGGCGAAGGCGACUUUCUGGUCUGUAACUGACGCUGAGGCGCGAAAGCGUGGGGAGCAAACAGGAUUAGAUACCCUGGUAGUCCACGCCGUAAACGAUGAGUGCUAAG